RNAcentral lists this unclassified non-coding RNA (400 nucleotides) under uncultured Acidobacteriota bacterium. RNAcentral describes it as "uncultured Acidobacteria bacterium contains 16S-23S intergenic spacer region". The record is from RNAcentral. Lineage: Bacteria; Pseudomonadati; Acidobacteriota.
GUCAAUUCCUUUGAGUUUCAGUCUUGCGACCGUACUCCCCAGGCGGAAUGCUUAAAGCGUUAGCGACGGCACCCGGGGACUAUAUAACCCCAGACACCAAGCAUUCAUCGUUUAAGGCUAGGACUACCGGGGUAUCUAAUCCCGUUCGCUCCCCUAGCUUUCGCGCCUCAGCGUCAGUGUCGGCCCAGCAACCCGCCUUCGCCGCAGGUGUUCCUCUUGAUAUCUACGCAUUUCACCGCUACACCAAGAAUUCCAGUUGCCCCUUCCGCACUCUAGCCCCGCAGUAUCAGUUGACCUUUCCGAGUUAAGCUCGGAGAUUUCACAACUGACUUGCGGCGGCCGCCUACGCGCCCUUUACGCCCAGUAAAUCCGAACAACGCUUGCUCCCCCCGUAUUACCG